Molecule: long non-coding RNA, 1486 nt
Filed under: Setaria italica (foxtail millet)
Lineage: Eukaryota; Viridiplantae; Streptophyta; Magnoliopsida; Poales; Poaceae
Description: long non-coding RNA (SITA_LNC002796)
Source: RNAcentral
CUUAACAACAGUUAACUUCUACUAUCCAAUCUAUUAUCUAGGCAUGGUUUUCCAUUCAGGUUUACUUUUGAUGAAUUCAGUUGGGAUGCUUUACAGCUUGCAUAAUCAGUAUUAUCAUGGUCAAGUCUUGCAUAGGGGUGGGCAUUCGAUUAGACCAAACCGAACCGGUUGGUUCUUCGGUCUUUUCCAAAAUUCAGUUAGUAAAAAACGUGAACCGAUUGGUUCCUUCAAAUUCUUGGAACCGAGAACUUCGGUCUCGGUUAGUUUGGUUCGGUCUUCGGUUCCGACCAAAUGAACCGAGUCACCAGGGAACGCAUAAAAAAAUCGCAAGAUGUAGAGUUGCCUAAAAUUCCGGAAAAGAUCCAAAUUGAAUUAAAAAGGCACAAACAGCAUGUAAUAGGAUUACAGGAGUACGAAAUUCCAAUGCAUAGAAAACCAAUCGAUCCAAGCAUGGACCACACGGGAACAAUCGGAUGAAGCAAAAGACGAAUCUUCCUAUUUGUAUACUUCUAGUCCUAGAUUGGAGAGAGCAUGCACAAGACAAAAGCUGCAGGUAUUUCAAGGAUGGGGACCCGCAGGCCGCACAACGCCGCUAAGUACGCUCAGCUCCAACCGCAUCGCAGACAGCCUCGACCACCUCCGCGACGCCACAGGGGACGAGCGCGCCGUCGCCUUAGAGACCACGUGCUGGCCUGCUGCCUGAGCCGCGACCUCUCCUUCCGCCUAGAGAUGGAGCGUCGGGUGGGGAAUGGGAGGGAGUGGUGCGAGGAUGGGAAGCGGCGCGAGGAUGGGGAACGGGAGGGAGGAAGCAGCGUGAAUCGCGAGGGUGGGGAGAGAAGGGAGCGGCGUGAGUCCGCGAGGGUGGGGAACGGGAGGUAGCAGCGCGAGGGUGGGGUCAUGGGGACUAGGGAAUCGGGAGGGGGGACCGGAACUGAGGUGUGUUAUAUAGUUAGGGUUUGGUACAUGGGCUAAUGGGCCGGCCUAGGCUGAAAUUGUGCUGGGCUGCUGGUUCGGUUAUUCGGUUUUUCUCAGUUAACCGAGGGUGAGAACCGAAUAGACCGAGGUUAGUUCGGUUAGUAUGAACUAGGAACCGAACUGGUAACCGAUCUUUUCGGUUUCGGUUAAUUCGGUUCGGUUCUCGGUUAAUCAGUUCGGUUUUCGGUCAUUUAUGCCCAGCCCUAGUCUUGCAUAAUCAAUCAUAUCAUGGUCAAGUCUGAGUUAGGUCUUGCAUAGAUGAAACAGAUACAAAUUUAUCAUGACCAAUCUAUUAUCUAUGCAUGGUUUUCUGUUCAGGUUUACUUUUGGUGAAAUCAGUGGGACGCUUUACAGCUUGCAUAAUCAGUCAUAUCAUGGUCAAGUCUUGCAUAAUCAAUCAUAUCAUGGUCAAAUCUGAGUUAGGUCUUGCAUAAAUGAAACAGAUACAAGUUUACAAAAUGAAAUGAAAAUGGCUAUGCUACUUAUAAGUAAGCUAUAUUCUAUUUCCAGG